UGGCGAACGGGUGAGUAACACGUGGGUGAUCUGCCUUGCACUCGGGAUAAGCCUGGGAAACUGGGUCUAAUACCGGAUAGGACCAUGCUUUAGUGUGUGUGGUGGAAAGUUUUCGGUGCAAGAUGAGCCCGCGGCCUAUCAGCUUGUUGGUGGGGUAAUGGCCUACCAAGGCGACGACGGGUAGCCGGCCUGAGAGGGUGUACGGCCACAUUGGGACUGAGACACGGCCCAG
This 232-nucleotide ribosomal RNA is filed under the name uncultured Actinomycetales bacterium. Its description in RNAcentral is "partial 16S ribosomal RNA". It matches the Rfam family "Bacterial small subunit ribosomal RNA", at positions 96 to 334 of the family's 1533-position model. Lineage: Bacteria; Bacillati; Actinomycetota; Actinomycetes; Actinomycetales. The record is from RNAcentral.